Molecule: long non-coding RNA, 332 nt
Filed under: Capsicum annuum
Lineage: Eukaryota; Viridiplantae; Streptophyta; Magnoliopsida; Solanales; Solanaceae
Description: long non-coding RNA (CANN_LNC012934)
Source: RNAcentral
GCCACCACAAAUGCCGCCGCAAGGUAUGCAGAUGCAGAGGCCUGGUGGACCUCCGCCACCUAUGGCACCGCCACCACAGUUCAGGCCGGGUGGUGGUCCACCACAACAGUUUCCACCGCAGUUUGGUCAGCGGCCCAUGGUUCCUCCGCCUCCUAUGAUGAGGGGUCCACCACCACCUGGUGCUCCACCUAGACCAGGAAUGCCUGGUGGUCCUCCUGGUCAACCACCUCGCCCUGGUAUGCCACCACCACCUCCAGGUGGUCAGGUUCCUGUUUAUGGACCUCCUCGUCCUGGUAUGCCUCCACCGCCAAAUGCUCCUCCACAGAAUCAGC